GCUCAGAAGGACGCUGGCGGCGCGCUCCACACAUGCAAGGAAAGCGAGAACCAGGCCUUCGGGCCUGGGGACAGCGGCGAACGGGCCAGUAACACGUGGGUAAUCAACCCUCGACACUGGGAUAGCCCGGGGAAACCCGGAUUAAUACCGGAUGGCCCUCUGGAUCCUCGGAUCUGGCGGGAAAGGUAGCUUCGGCCUCCGGUCGAGGACGAGCCCGCGGCGGAUUAGCUUGUUGGUGAGGUAACGGCUCACCAAGGCGACGAUCGGUAGCUGGUCUGAGAGGAUGACCAGCCUCACUGGGACUGAGACGCGGCCCAGACUCCUACGGGAGGCAGCAGUGGG
This 342-nucleotide ribosomal RNA is filed under the name uncultured bacterium. Its description in RNAcentral is "bacterial SSU rRNA". It matches the Rfam family "Bacterial small subunit ribosomal RNA", at positions 22 to 358 of the family's 1533-position model. The record is from RNAcentral.